CUGUAAACAGUCCCGGGCCCGGGAGGGAUCCCCGCGGCUUGUUUUGGUGACUGCGCGCGGAAGUCUGUGGUGCUGGGAAUGGGAGGGCCGCCUGUGAAACCACAAAGCCCUGCUCGUGCGUCGGACGGCCGGGAAGCCUGCACACUUUUCCGUGUUUCCGGGAUCUUGCGAGCCCGCGCGCUGCGGGAGACGCGGAGGCGGGACCCGUGGGUCCUCAGGGCCUGGGCGGGCGGCGGAGCAUCUCUGACGGAUGGGAAAUGCACAGCCCUGGUCAGCGAGGAGAAGGCAUUGUGACUAGGAAGACCUGAGAGUAGACAACUAGUUAGAACAAGGCCAGGCAACGCAUCCAUUAACAAAAAAUAA
Long non-coding RNA from Canis lupus familiaris (dog), 363 nucleotides. RefSeq lists it as uncharacterized. The record is from RefSeq and is a predicted model, not a curated record. The transcript is spliced from 2 exons. NCBI's taxonomy places the organism in Eukaryota, Metazoa, Chordata, Mammalia, Carnivora, Canidae.